RNAcentral lists this transfer RNA (86 nucleotides) under Candidatus Peregrinibacteria bacterium. RNAcentral's name for it is "tRNA-Leu". It matches the Rfam family "tRNA". Rfam says of the family: Transfer RNA (tRNA) molecules are approximately 80 nucleotides in length. Their secondary structure includes four short double-helical elements and three loops (D, anti-codon, and T loops). The record is from RNAcentral. Lineage: Bacteria; Candidatus Peregrinibacteriota.
GCUCGGAUGGCGAAAUGGUAGACGCGCUGGUUCGAGGGGCCAGUGGCCGCAAGGCUGUGGAGGUUCAAGUCCUCUUCCGAGCACCA